GUGCCUAAUACAUGCAAGUCGAGCGAAUGGAUUAAGAGCUUGCUCUUAUGAAGUUAGCGGCGGACGGGUGAGUAACACGUGGGUAACCUGCCCAUAAGACUGGGAUAACUCCGGGAAACCGGGGCUAAUACCGGAUAACAUUUUGAACCGCAUGGUUCGAAAUUGAAAGGCGGCUUCGGCUGUCACUUAUGGAUGGACCCGCGUCGCAUUAGCUAGUUGGUGAGGUAACGGCUCACCAAGGCAACGAUGCGUAGCCGACCUGAGAGGGUGAUCGGCCACACUGGGACUGAGACACGGCCCAGACUCCUACGGGAGGCAGCAGUAGGGAAUCUUCCGCAAUGGACGAAAGUCUGACGGAGCAACGCCGCGUGAGUGAUGAAGGCUUUCGGGUCGUAAAACUCUGUUGUUAGGGAAGAACAAGUGCUAGUUGAAUAAGCU
This 438-nucleotide ribosomal RNA is filed under the name Bacillus thuringiensis. Its description in RNAcentral is "bacterial SSU rRNA". It matches the Rfam family "Bacterial small subunit ribosomal RNA", at positions 44 to 470 of the family's 1533-position model. Lineage: Bacteria; Bacillati; Bacillota; Bacilli; Caryophanales; Bacillaceae. The record is from RNAcentral.